Molecule: ribosomal RNA, 477 nt
Filed under: uncultured bacterium
Lineage: Bacteria
Description: partial 16S ribosomal RNA
Rfam family: Bacterial small subunit ribosomal RNA
Source: RNAcentral
GACGAACGCUGGCGGCGUGCUUAACACAAGCAAGUCGAACGGUAAGGCCCUUCGGGGUACACGAGUGGCGAACGGGUGAGUAACACGUGGGUGAUCUGCCCUGCACUUCGGGAUAAGCCUGGGAAACUGGGUCUAAUACCGGAUAGGACUCCUGGCUUCAUGGUUGGGGGUGAAGGCUUUUGCGGUGUGGGAUGGGCCCGCGGCCUAUCAGCGUGUUGGUGGGGUAAUGGCCUACCAAGGCGACGACGGGUAGCCGGCCUGAGAGGGUGACCGGUCACACUGGGACUGAGAUACGGCCCAGACUCCUACGGGAGGCAGCAGUGGGGAAUAUUGCACAAUGGGCGCAAGCCUGAUGCAGCGACGCCGCGUGAGGGAUGACGGCCUUCGGGUUGUAAACCUCUUUCAGCUAUGACGAAGCGCAAGUGACGGUAGUAGCAGAAGAAGGACCGGCCAACUACGUGCCAGCAGCCGCCGUAA